Molecule: long non-coding RNA, 709 nt
Organism: Uranotaenia lowii
Lineage: Eukaryota; Metazoa; Arthropoda; Insecta; Diptera; Culicidae
Exons: 5
Source: RefSeq, a predicted model, not a curated record
CAGCACUCCACGUCGUUCGUGAAUAACAAAUCAAGAAACCGAUUGUUUUGGUUCGGUAUUCCACAGACUUGAAAUAGAUCAGAUGCUGCCAUAUCAUCAACAAGAAUAGCUUCUUCGGGCGAAGUGCUAUUAAUUAACGAGCCUACGCUAGCUGUAUGUGAAGAGUAUCUAUGACUGCUUGAUCCCGGUGGUCGAGAUAUUAAUCAAAGUGCUGGCUAAACGGUUGUUUACGGCAAUCAGAACACCUCCACCAGAAACCUUAUCGGAAUUGGUAGACGAUCGGUCGCAGCGAACGCAAACACAUCGUAGUCCCACUCGAGCGAUGACAAAAAAACGGUCUCGAGUCUUCUUCUGCUACGGAUACUAUUCAUAUUCUGGCAAACGAUUUGAUGACCGCGACAGAAAGUUGGUACUCGAAAGUGGCAAACUAUUGUUGGCGAAACGAAACCUGCAUUGUUGGAUCCGUACGCUGGGACAAGAAGGGAUUAGCAACAGGCUGCUCGUUACUUGUUACAGUUUGGGCAACGAGAUCAGCAGUGGUGGCGAGAACAGUAGCUACAGGUUGUGCAUUGAACCGAAAUAUAUCGGCUCGGCGCACAGUUGUGAAUUCAAAUGUACGGAAAUAUAUUCCUUUCUGCCAUGUAGAGGCAGUUAGGGCCUUUUCUUUGUGUUCAAUUGGAAUGCCUAUCUUGAAUGACACAAAUGAUAA